GGUCAGGACGAACGCUGGCGGCGUGCUUAACACAUGCAAGUCGAACGGUCGUAGCGAUACGAUAGUGGCGGACGGGUGAGUAACACGUGAGCAAUCUGCCUUUUACAGGGGGAUAACACUGAGAAAUCAGUGCUAAUACCGCAUAAGACCACAUUUUCGCAUGGGAGAGUGGUAAAAGGGAAUAACCGGUAGAAGAUGAGCUCGCGUCCCAUUAGGUAGUUGGUGACGGUAAUGGCGCACCAAGCCGACGAUGGGUAGCCGACCUGAGAGGGUGAACGGCCACACUGGAACUGAGAGACGGUCCAGACUCCUACGGGAGGCAGCAGUGGGGAAUAUUGGGCAAUGGAGGGAACUCCUGACCCAGCAACGCCGCGUGAAUGAAGAAGGUCUUCGGAUUGUAAAGUUCUGUGGAUAGGGAAGAAAAAAUGACGGUACCUAUACAGCAAGCCACGGCAAACUACGUGCCAGCCGCGGC
RNAcentral lists this ribosomal RNA (475 nucleotides) under uncultured bacterium. Its description in RNAcentral is "bacterial SSU rRNA". It matches the Rfam family "Bacterial small subunit ribosomal RNA", at positions 22 to 518 of the family's 1533-position model. The record is from RNAcentral.